This 384-nucleotide unclassified non-coding RNA is filed under the name uncultured fungus. Its description in RNAcentral is "sequence contains ITS1". The stretch from base 1 to 106 matches the Rfam family "5.8S ribosomal RNA", at positions 49 to 154 of the family's 154-position model. The record is from RNAcentral. Lineage: Eukaryota; Fungi.
UGAAAUGCGAUAACUAGUGUGAAUUGCAUUACUUUGUGAAUCAUCGAGUCUUUGAACGCACAUUGCGCCUUUUGUUCCAACUUAAGGCAUGCCUGUUUGAGAAUCAUAAACACCCCUCCGCACAGUCGUGCGGGUCUUGGGCUCCAAGUCGUGUCAUCAGUUAGAUGGCUUAAGCGGCUUCAGCCUUAAAUGCAUACCUGAGUGACGCCGACUCUUUGUCGAUGCUCUAAGCGCAACAAGACCAGUUUGGCCAAAGUUCGCAAAGACGUUGACCAAGGGUUGGCUAUCACCAAGCUCAGGCUUGUUCGUCCUGCGCCAAGCAAUUGACGCGGACAAUUUGUAUUCUUUGAUCUCAAAUCAGGCAAGACUACCCGCUGAACUUAA